GAGUUUGAUCAUGGCUCAGGACGAACGCUGGCGGCGCGCUUAACACAUGCAAGUCGAACGGGGCCCUUCGGGGCUCAGUGGCGAACGGGUGCGUAACACGUGAGCAACCUGCCCAUGCAUGGGGGAUAACCAAGGGAAACCUUGGCUAAUACCGCAUACGUUCCCUGGCUCGAGUGAGCUGGGGAGGAAAGCUGCUGCGAGGCAGCGUGCGUGGAGGGGCUCGCGGCGUAUCAGGUAGCUGGUGAGGUAACGGCUCACCAGGCCGACGACGCGUAGCCGAUCUGAGAGGAUGAUCGGCCACAUUGGGACUGAGAUACGGCCCAGACUCCUACGGGAGGCAGCAGUGGGGAAUCUUGCGCAAUGGGCGAAAGCCUGACGCAGCGACGCCGCGUGCGGGAGGAAGCUCUUCGGGGUGUAAACCGCUGUCAGGGGGGAAGAACGGACCGUGGAGGAAAUGACACGGUUUUGACGGUACCCCCAGAGGAAGCACCGGCUAACUCUGUGCCAGCAGCC
This 513-nucleotide ribosomal RNA is filed under the name uncultured delta proteobacterium. RNAcentral describes it as "bacterial SSU rRNA". It matches the Rfam family "Bacterial small subunit ribosomal RNA", at positions 9 to 516 of the family's 1533-position model. The record is from RNAcentral. Lineage: Bacteria; Deltaproteobacteria.